UAUGUUAAUGGACACAUACCAUAUAUGUUGAAAAAGUUGGGACAUUUAAGGUAUCUGAGUUUAUCUUCUAAUCUGCUCACUGGUGAAAUUCCUAACUCUUUGUUUCAAAUUCCUGAACUGGAGGAGGUUGACCUGCAAUAAAACAAUCUAACUGGUCACAUCCCAUCCAAUAUUGGCAACACGACUAAACUGUUAGUGUUGAACCUAUCCAAUAAUCUAUUGUCAGGGAUAAUUCCUUCUUCCAUAGGUAACUGCAGUACACUAAAGGCACUAUUUAUGAAUGAUAACAAAUUGACAGGAAUUCUGCCUCAAAGUUUGAACAAUCUCAAGAAUCUUACGUAUUUUGAUGUAAAAAACAAUAGUCUUCAAGGCACCAUCCCUCUUGGCUGUGGAAGUUAUGGCAAAUUAGUUAUUUUGGACCUAUCCUUCAAUAUAUUUAGUAGAGGUAUUCCCUCAGGCUUGGGCAACUAUAGCAAUUUAGCUGAACUUUCUGUUGUGAAGAGCAACUUAGUUGGAAGCAUUCUUUUGUCCUUUGGAUUAUUAUUAAAUAUUUCAAUUCUUUGCCUUCCUGAGAGCUAUUUUUCUGGAAAUAAACCUCCAGAAAUUGGCAAUUACAGAUCUUUGUAGAAGUUACAUCUAUAUUCCAAUCAACUGGGGGGAACAAUUCCAAAUGAAUGGGAGGAUUGACUAAAUUGGAGGACCUUGAAUUGUACUCCAACCAUUUGACAAGUGAAAUUCCACUUAUCGUGGAAGAUGUAAAAUCUUAAGCAUAUCCUUCUUCAGAAUAAUAGCUUUUCAGGGAAAUUACCUUCAGAGCUUGCUAAGCUCAAGCGUCUGGAAAAUAUCUCAUUGUUUGACAAUCAAUUCUCUAGAUCAAUUCCUCAAAGCUUGGGAAUCAAUAGCAGUUUAAUCAAGUUGGACUUGAUGAAUAAUAAGUUCAUUAGUAAUAUCCCUCCAAAUCUUUGUUUUAGAAAGCAACUAUGCAUACUAAGUUUAGGUCGUAAUCAACUUCAAAGGGGCUUACCUCAUGAUUUGGGUAAAUGUGCAACUCUUAGGAGGCUUGUUCUCAACGAAAAUAAUCUUUUUGGGUUUUCUUCCUGAAUUUGAAGGUAAUUAGAAUCUCAUAUAUAGACAUCAGCAAGAAUAAUGUUAGUGGAUCAAUUCCAUCAAGUUUGGGAAACUGCACAAAUCUCACUGCUUUAAUUUUGUCCAUGAAUAACAUUAUAGGGCUUAUACCCUUGAAGCUAGGAAAUCUUGUCAACCUUCAAGUUUUGAAUCUUGCUCACAACAAACUAGAAGGCGCUUUACCAACAAAGCUGUCAUACUAUACUAAAAUGCUAACAUUUGAUGUGGGAUUCAAUUUUCUUAACGGUUCAUUCCCAUCAAGCAUGAGGAGCUGGACAGAGUUAACCAUAUUAAUUUUAAGAGAUAAUCCUUUUAGAGGGGAUAUCCCAUCUUUCUUAUCAGAAUAUGGCUAGCUUCUUAACCUAUAACUUAGAAGAAAUAUGUUUUGGGGGAAAAUUCCUACAUCAAUUGGAUCAUUAUUGAAUCUCUUAUACAAGUUGAAUCUGAGCGUAAAUAAAUUAAUAGGCGAGAUUCCUUUUAAAAUAGGAAAGUUACAAAAGCUGUAAAGGCUGGAUAUAUCCCCAAACAAUUUGACAGGGAGUAUACAUAUUCUUGGUGAACUUUCUUUACUAAUAGCAGUCAAUACAUCAUACAACUCAUUUGUUGGUCCUUUACCAGAAUGGAAAAUGCAACGUCCGAAUUUAUCUCUAUCGUCAUGCUUGGGCAAUGCUGGCCUUUGUGUCUAUUGUUCAACCUUAAAUGGCUCUACUUGCAUAAACUCUAGCCUCUUGAAGCCAUGUGACUCUGAAUCAACUACCCAUAAAGGCAGUAAAUGUUCAAUUUUAUUUAUUGCACCUGGAUUUGUAGGGUUUGUCAUUUGUCUGUCAAGAAUACUCCUAAUUAAUGAUCGUCGCUGUCAUGAAAUAUCUCAAGAUGGCCACCUCUCUAGCAGAAGUUCUAAGGAGGAGGUCUCUACUCAUUAUGGGCAAUAUUUUAUCUGAGUUUGGUCAAACAUCUACACUGAAGGAGAAUGCUGUUUGUAAUGAGUUAGAGGCUUUAUAUUCAAGUGAUAUAGGUGAUUUUAGAAUUAGUGACCUGAUAAAUGAUACUACAGAGAAUCUAAACGAUCAAUAUAUAAUCGGCGAAGGUAGGCAUGUAAUUGUUUAUAAAGCCAAAUUUGAUUUUGGUGUUUUUGUUGUUAAGAAAGUUAAGUUUGCACAGAGCAAGAGGAGGCAAUUAAACAUGGUUAGAGAAGUUGGAAUGUGUGGGAAUAUUGUAUCAUUAUUGUGAAUAAUUAGCAUUCAUUGUCAUUAUGAGGCUUUAUUAGCAUUUAUUAGGUUUUACCUCCCUUGAUGUGUAUAUAUGGCCUUAGUUUGUAAUUAGAAAGCAUAUGAAUGAGAAAUGUACUUUUUCCUUCUCAAAAUAUCACAUGGUAUCAAAGUAUCAAGCUCAAAAAUUUAAAUUAGGUUAGUUCUAGAAUGGCUAGAAUGAGACUUUUUGAACAGUACAUGAGACAAUGGUAGAGCGAGUUUUGAAUCUCAUCGCCACCCUAGAUGUACUCAAGAGGCUCUGAACGACAAAACCUAGGAUCGCGAUGACAAAUGGCAGCGCAUGUGGACCACACGUGCCACCCCUACGAACUACGUCAGCAAGCUUUCGGCGACAUAUAGUGGCUUCAUUUUGGACGUGAUCUUCUCAAACUGUGACGACGCACUCUCUCCGGCCAGAUCUAGUACAAUCCGAUGUAUGGGUACAUCUUUUUUGAACCAUAUCAGGUCGUAUGGUAUUGUUAGUGCCCUAGUUUGCUAAGUUUGGAGUUAUAUUGGGUUGUGGCUUCUAUUUUUAGUCUAUUAUGAAGCCUUUCCCUUAUUUGAAGUGCUAUAUAUACUCUUCUAUAGUGUCGUGACUAAUUUUUCCAGAUUUGCACCUGUAGCAUUAGUGGCAAAAAGGGGUUCCUUUCUUCAAGCUUUAAAGACAACUUGAAGUGCAGUGGUAUGUGUAAUAUCCCAAAAAUUUUAAGACUUGAAUUUAUUGUUUUAAAAAAAUAAAAUAUCUAUAAUUAAAUUAAAAUUUAGAAUAAUUUAAUAGAGGUCCAGGGUUUGAAUUUUUCUUAGCAAAAGUUUGAUUUUAUUUGAUUUUUAACUAUGAAAAAAAUUACCAAAGUUGACCCGGACUUUUAUGCUAUAACAAAAAAUGUUGGGCCCUUUCUUGUAAUUUUUCCCAAACAUUUAGAUUAGCUUUUUUAAGGGGAAAACAGACGCAGAAACGCAGAGAAAGGAAAGGAAAGGAAACGCAUGAGAGGGAGAGAGGAAGAAGAGAAGAGAAAGGGAGGAGUUAGGCUUGGAUCUAAGAGUCUUUGCGACCGUUGCGAGCUCGGCUACACGAUAGGGAUUGUUGGUGGAAUUUGUUCAGAAGUUAAGGAACAAACCAAGUUUUAUUUUGUACAAAAGGAACCCUUUUGGUACCAAAGGGUUAAGGAAAGGUAGACAAGAGUAAAAGGCAUGAUCUCAGUGGGAGUUCACGAAUGAGAAGGUCCAGGCAAAGGAUCCAAUGGUGGACGGGGAAAGGAGUAAAGCUAGGGGUUUGCUUGUGAUUUGUAAAGAACUGCAACCCCUUUCUUUUGAGCAAAUAUAUUGUAAUGUAUUUAGGAUUAGGGUGCCAGUAGGAUAUGAUUAUGUAUGUGUGUGUGAAUAUGUGUGGAUUGUGUGCUUGUAUGAAUUUUUGUCUGUUUAUAGACUUGUGGCUAGGAAACUUGGUUAUGGUGUGUGGUUUUGAUGGAUUUACUUAGUAGACCAAGUUUCUAUUACAA
Molecule: RNA transcript, 3874 nt
Organism: Prosopis cineraria
Lineage: Eukaryota; Viridiplantae; Streptophyta; Magnoliopsida; Fabales; Fabaceae
Exons: 4
Source: RefSeq, a predicted model, not a curated record